RNAcentral lists this ribosomal RNA (372 nucleotides) under uncultured organism. RNAcentral describes it as "bacterial SSU rRNA". It matches the Rfam family "Bacterial small subunit ribosomal RNA", at positions 526 to 896 of the family's 1533-position model. The record is from RNAcentral.
CAGAGGUCCCAAGCGUUGUUCGGAUUCACUGGGCGUAAAGGGUGCGUAGGCGGUCGGGUAAGUCUGAUGUGAAAUCUCACAGCUUAACUGUGAAACUGCAUUGGAUACUAUUCGGCUUGAGAGUUGGAGGGGGGACUGGAAUUCUUGGUGUAGCAGUGAAAUGCGUAGAUAUCAAGAGGAACACCAGUGGCGAAGGCGAGUCCCUGGACAACUUCUGACGCUGAGGCACGAAAGCUAGGGGAGCAAACAGGAUUAGAUACCCUGGUAGUCCUAGCCGUAAACGGUGCUUAUUUGCUGUAAAAGGAAUCGACCCCUUUUGUGGCGUAGCAAACGCGUUAAAUAAGCCGCCUGGGAAGUACGGUCGCAAGAUUA